This 253-nucleotide ribosomal RNA is filed under the name uncultured bacterium. RNAcentral describes it as "partial 16S ribosomal RNA". It matches the Rfam family "Bacterial small subunit ribosomal RNA", at positions 524 to 776 of the family's 1533-position model. The record is from RNAcentral.
UACGUAGGGGGCAAGCGUUGUCCGGAUUUAUUGGGCGUAAAGAGCGUGUAGGCGGCCAGGUAGGUCAGCUGUGAAAACUCGAGGCUCAACCUCGAGACGUCGGUUGAAACCAUCUGGCUAGAGUCCGGAAGAGGAGAGUGGAAUUCCCGGUGUAGCGGUGAAAUGCGCAGAUAUCGGGAAGAACACCCGUGGCGAAGGCGGCUCUCUGGGACGGUACUGACGCUGAGACGCGAAAGCGUGGGGAGCGAACAGG